This 522-nucleotide ribosomal RNA is filed under the name Dermanyssus gallinae. Its description in RNAcentral is "SSU rRNA". It matches the Rfam family "Eukaryotic small subunit ribosomal RNA", at positions 891 to 1438 of the family's 1831-position model. The record is from RNAcentral. Lineage: Eukaryota; Metazoa; Arthropoda; Arachnida; Mesostigmata; Dermanyssidae.
UUCGUAUUGUUGUGAGAGAGGUGAAAUUCUUAGACCACAGCAAGACGAACUACUGCGAAAGCAUUUGCCAAGAAUGUUUUCAUUGAUCAAGAACGAAAGUUAGAGGUUCGAAGGCGAUCAGAUACCGCCCUAGUUCUAACCAUAAACUAUGCCAACUAGCAAUUUGCUUACGUAUGUUUUACGACUAAGUGAGAGGCCACGGGAAACCAAAGUAGGGUUAUGGGGGAAGUAUGGUUGCAAAGCUGAAACUUAAAGGAAUUGACGGAAGGGCACCACCAGGAGUGGAGCCUGCGGCUUAAUUUGACUCAACACGGGAAAACUUACCUGGUCCUGACACUAGAAGGAUUGACAGAUUGAUAGCUCUUUCUUGAUUUGGUGGAUGGUGGUGCAUGGCCGUUCUUAGUUGGUGGAGUGAUUUGUCUGGUUAAUUCCGAUAACGAACGAGACUCUAGCCUAUUAAAUAACACACAGAAUCUCGUCUUCUGUGGCGUUCCUUAAUGGGAUCAAGUGUGUUUAACACUU